This 425-nucleotide ribosomal RNA is filed under the name uncultured bacterium. RNAcentral's name for it is "partial 16S ribosomal RNA". It matches the Rfam family "Bacterial small subunit ribosomal RNA", at positions 354 to 796 of the family's 1533-position model. The record is from RNAcentral.
GUGGGGAAUAUUGGACAAUGGGCGAAAGCCUGAUCCAGCAAUGCCGCGUGAGUGAUGAAGGCCCUAGGGUUGUAAAGCUCUUUUACCCGGGAUGAUAAUGACAGUACCGGGAGAAUAAGCUCCGGCUAACUUCGUGCCAGCAGCCGCGGUAAUACGAGGGGAGCUAGCGUUGUUCGGAAUUACUGGGCGUAAAGCGCGCGGAGGCGGUUUUUUAAGUCAGAGGUGAAAGCCCGGGGCUCAACCCCGGAAUAGCCUUUGAAACUGGAAAACUAGAAUCUUGGAGAGGUCAGUGGAAUUCCGAGUGUAGAGGUGAAAUUCGUAGAUAUUCGGAAGAACACCAGUGGCGAAGGCGACUGACUGGACAAGUAUUGACGCUGAGGUGCGAAAGCGUGGGGAGCAAACAGGAUUAGAAACCCGGGUAGUCC